This 270-nucleotide ribosomal RNA is filed under the name uncultured bacterium. RNAcentral's name for it is "partial 16S ribosomal RNA". It matches the Rfam family "Bacterial small subunit ribosomal RNA", at positions 88 to 354 of the family's 1533-position model. The record is from RNAcentral.
CCGGCAACCGGCGCACGGGUGAGUAACACGUAUGCAACCUGGCCGUGACAGAUGGAUAACCGGGAGAAAUCCCGCCUAAUACAACAUAAUGCCGGGAGGGGACAUCCCCUGCCGGCCAAAGGGGGCGACCCCGGUCACGGAUGGGCAUGCGGCGCAUUAGGUAGUUGGUGGGGCAACGGCCCACCAAGCCGACGAUGCGUAGGGGUUCUGAGAGGAAGGUCCCCCACAUUGGAACUGAGACACGGUCCAAACUCCUACGGGAGGCAGCAG